This 631-nucleotide ribosomal RNA is filed under the name uncultured fungus. RNAcentral's name for it is "SSU rRNA". It matches the Rfam family "Eukaryotic small subunit ribosomal RNA", at positions 288 to 918 of the family's 1831-position model. The record is from RNAcentral. Lineage: Eukaryota; Fungi.
CGAUGGUUCAUUCAAAUUUCUGCCCUAUCAACUUUCGAUGGUAGAGUAGUGGUCUACCAUGGUUUCAACGGGUAACGGGGAAUUAGGGUUCUAUUCCGGAGAGGGAGCCUGAGAAACGGUACCACAUCCAAGGAAGGCAGCAGGCGCGCAAAUUACCCAAUCCCGACACGGGGAGGUAGUGACAAUAAAUACUGAUACAGGGCUCUUUUGGGUCUUGUAAUUGGAAUGAGUACAAUUUAAAUCCCUUAACGAGGAACAAUUGGAGGGCAAGUCUGGUGCCAGCAGCCGGGGUAAUUCCAGCUCCAAUAGCGUAUAUUAAAGUUGUUGCAGUUAAAAAGCUCGUAGUUGAACCUUGGGCCUGGUGGCAGGUCCGCUCACCGGUGGCAACUGGUCCGGCCGGGCCUUUCCUUCUGGGGAGCCGAUGCCCUUCACUGGGGUGUGUCGGGAACCAGGAACUUUUUACUUUGAAAAAAAUUAGAGUGUCCAAAGCAGGCCUAUGUCGGAAUACAUUAGCAUGGAAUAAUAGAAUAGGACGUGUGGUUCCUAUUAAGUGGUUUCUAAGGGACCGGCCGUAAUGAUUAAUAGGGAUAGUCGGGGGCAUCAGUAUUCCAAUUGUCAAGAGGUGGAAAAU